Solibacillus silvestris StLB046 is the source of this 78-nucleotide regulatory RNA element. The record is from Rfam. Lineage: Bacteria; Bacillati; Bacillota; Bacilli; Caryophanales; Caryophanaceae.
GUGCUACUGCAACCGCGCUGAACAGGUUUAAGUACCUUUAUAGGUCACCUGCAAUUCCGGGCGAGUCUGAGUCUAAGA